CCUACGGGAGNNCCUUAAUNGCGAANGGGUGAGUAACACGUGGGCAAUCUGCCCUUCACUCUGGGACAAGCCCUGGAAACGGGGUCUAAUACCGGAUACGACCUCCGACCGCAUGGUCUGGUGGUGGAAAGCUCCGGCGGUGAAGGAUGAGCCCGCGGCCUAUCAGCUUGUUGGUGGGGUGAUGGCCUACCAAGGCGACGACGGGUAGCCGGCCUGAGAGGGCGACCGGCCACACUGGGACUGAGACACGGCCCAGACUCCUACGGGAGGCAGCAGUGGGGAAUAUUGCACAAUGGGCGAAAGCCUGAUGCACCGACGCCGCGUGAGGGAUGACGGCCUUCGGGUUGUAAACCUCUUUCAGCAGGAAAGAAGCGAGAGUGACUGUACCUGCANAACAAGCGCCGGCUAACUACGUGCCAGCAGCCGCGGUAAUACGUAGGGCGCAAGCGUUGUCCGGAAUUAUUGCGCGUAAAGAGCUCGUAGGCGGCUUGUCACGUCAGAUGUGAAAGCCCGGGGCUUAACCNCGGGUCUGCAUUCGAUACGGGGAGGCUAGACCUCGGUAGGGGAUAUCGGAAUUCCUGGUGUAGCGGUGAAAUGCGCAGAUAUCANGA
RNAcentral lists this ribosomal RNA (611 nucleotides) under Streptomyces sp. LK2224.3. RNAcentral's name for it is "bacterial SSU rRNA". It matches the Rfam family "Bacterial small subunit ribosomal RNA", at positions 77 to 702 of the family's 1533-position model. Lineage: Bacteria; Bacillati; Actinomycetota; Actinomycetes; Kitasatosporales; Streptomycetaceae. The record is from RNAcentral.